RNAcentral lists this long non-coding RNA (1029 nucleotides) under Medicago truncatula (barrel medic). Its description in RNAcentral is "long non-coding RNA (MTRU_LNC001595)". The record is from RNAcentral. Lineage: Eukaryota; Viridiplantae; Streptophyta; Magnoliopsida; Fabales; Fabaceae.
UUUGCUAUCCCUCGGGGUCUUGCCAAUUAUGACAAGCCUCCGGUUUACCAACCACCGGUCUACAAGCCCCCUGUUGAGAAGCCACCUGUGUAUAAGCCACCGGUAGAAAAACCUCCAGUUUACAAACCACCGGUAGAGAAACCACCAGUGUACAAGCCACCAGUUGAGAAGCCCCCCGUCUACAAACCUCCUGUAGAGAAGCCUCCUGUUUACAAGCCACCAGUAGAGAAACCACCAGUGUACAAGCCACCAGUUGAAAAGCCUCCGGUCUACAAACCACCUGUAGAGAAGCCACCUGUUUACAAGCCACCUGUAGAGAAACCACCAGUGUACAAGCCACCAGUUGAGAAGCCUCCGGUCUACAAACCACCUGUAGAGAAGCCACCUGUUUAUAAGCCACCUGUAGAGAAACCACCAGUGUACAAGCCACCAGUUGAGAAGCCCCCGGUCUACAAACCCCCUGUAGAGAAGCCUCCUGUCUACAAGCCACCAGUAGAGAAACCGCCAGUGUACAAGCCACCAGUUGAGAAACCCCCGGUCUACAAACCCCCUGUUGAGAAGCCUCCUAUCUACAAGCCACCAGUAGAGAAACCACCAGUGUACAAGCCACCUGUUGAGAAGCCUCCAGUUUAUAAGCCACCAGUUGAGAAGCCACCUGUGUACAAGCCCCCAGUCGAGAAACCCCCGGUCUACAAACCUCCUGUAGAGAAGCCUCCAGUUUACAAGCCACCGGUGUACAAACCUCCAGUUUACAAGCCACCAGUAGAGAAGCCACCUGUGUACAAGCCUCCGGUCUACAAACCCCCAGUUGAGAAACCUCCAGUUUACAAGCCACCGGUUUACAAGCCUCCAGUCGAGAAGCCACCAGUUUACGGACCACCUCACCACCCAUAGUACCCUCCCGUAGUUGGCACUACUCGUUUUUAAAGCAUGCUUUUAAGUAAAUAAGAGAUAUAUAAACUUUCCAAAGCAAGGAUCAUAUAUUCUUGGAAAUCUUCAAUUCAAUCUUAUGUUUACAAAUGCUAUUGC